UACGGGGGGGGCAAGCGUUGUUCGGAAUUACUGGGCGUACAGGGUUUGUAGGUGGCUGAUUAAGUCAGACGUGAAAUCCCUCAGCUUAACUGGGGAACUGCGUCUGAUACUGGUUAGCUUGAGUGCAGGAGAGGAACGCGGAAUUCCAGGUGUAGCGGUGAAAUGCGUAGAUAUCUGGAGGAACACCGGUGGCGAAAGCGCUCUGCUAGGCCGCAACUGACACUCAUGGAUGAAAGCUAGGGGAGCGAAUGGG
This 253-nucleotide ribosomal RNA is filed under the name uncultured bacterium. RNAcentral's name for it is "partial 16S ribosomal RNA". It matches the Rfam family "Bacterial small subunit ribosomal RNA", at positions 524 to 776 of the family's 1533-position model. The record is from RNAcentral.